AUGCACUCCGAUGCCGAGGAGGGCGCCGCUGACCACUUCAUACGGGAGUGGGUGAGGCAGGUCAGCGAGCUCGCCUACGACGCGGAGGACUGCGUUCACCUCUACAUCUUCCGCAUCCGGUGCCGGCCGAGAGAUCGCUUUCACGUCUGGUCCAAACGCAUGGUGGCGACGCUCUUCCCGCGCCGUCGACUGGCUCGCGAGAUCCUGGCGCUCCAGGCUCGUGCGGUUGUUAUCAGCGAGCGCCAUGCGCGUUACGGCGUCAGCCGACCACCUCCUUCAUCAGUCCAUGUACGGCCGGUGGCGACAUCGGCGCAUGCGCUCCGUCCUGAGAACAAUCCUCAUCAGUUCGUCGGGAUCAAGGAGCAGGCUGAAAUCCUCACCAAGGAUCUCAAGGCGGUGACUGACGAGGAGCUCCAGGUUUUCUCCAUCGUGGGGUUCGGAGGGCUUGGAAAGACUACGCUGGCCAUGGAGAUGUGCCGGCAGCUAGAGCCAGAUUUCCAGCGCCAAGCGCAGGUGUCCGUGUCCCAGGCGUUCAACGGCGGUGAAGAUCUGAAGGGAUUGCUGAAGCGCGUGCUUCAACAGAUCGUCAAGCCCAAAGAUGCUACUGAGGAAGGCAUCAAGGUCAAGGAAGAAGAUCCCUUGGUUAACAUUGAAAAAAUGGAUCUAGAUGGUCUAGCCAAGAAGCUGAAGGAUCUUAUUAUGAACAUGAGGUACCUUAUUGUGAUCGAUGAUGUAUGGACCGUAGGUGCAUGGGAAUUAAUUCAAUCCCGAUUGCCAAAAAACAAGUGUGGCAGAAGAAUAAUUGUGACCACUCGGAUAGAAACUGUGGCCAGAGCAUGCAGUCGUGCCAGUGUUUAUCGUAAUUACAUUUAUCACAUCAAGCCCCUCAAAUCAUCAGAUGCAAAGAUGCUGUUUCUUAGUAGAGCAUUUGGAUUCAUGACUGACUCUUGCCCAAAGAAUCUUGAGGAGGCAAUGGAGAAAAUCUUGAAGAAAUGUGGUGGGCUUCCAUUGGCGAUUGUUAGCAUUGCGAGCCUCCUCGCCAACUAUAAUGCAGCUGACGUUUGGUGGACAGUUUGCAACUCAAUUGGUGCUGCAAUGGAGAACAACCCUACACUCGAAGGGAUGAGACAGAUACUCACACUCAGCUACAACCAUCUACCACAUUACCUCAAAGAUUGCAUGAUGUAUGUUGCCAUUUUUCCAGAGGACUAUGUUUUCUUGAAGACUCGGCUCUUGCAGAGAUGGAUCGCUGAAGGACUGAUUAUCGCGAGGCGGGGGCAAACCACAAUGGAGGUUGCAGAAGACUACUUCAACGAGUUGGUGAGUAGAAACAUGAUUGAUCUAGCUGCUUCUAUAAUCGACGUCCACGGCGAGAUGAAGACAUGUCGGGUGCACGACAUGAUGCUUGAGGUUGCUGUGUCCAAAUGCUUGGAGGCAAACUUUGUUAGCCUGGUAGGGGGACAGAAUGAAGGGAUGUCGUAUGAUAAAAUUCGUCGUCUCUCUGUUCAUGGCGGAGUACGUGGGACCACUAAGGUCCGUGACUCUACGUCCAAGGGAAGAGUACUGGGGCGUGAUAGGAGGAAUGUUAUCGAUGAAAUGAAGCUGCAGCAUGUCCGUUCACUGAGUAUGUUUGAGAUCCAAGGGCACAAGUUGCUUGAUCGGUUGGGCGAGUUCACUCUGCUGAGGGUACUUGACAUGGAAGAUUGCAAGGGCCUAGCCAACGAGCAUGUGAAGUAUAUUUGCCAGAUGUACCUUCUCAAGUUCUUGAGCUUGAGGGGUACGUAUAUCAGCUUGAUGCCUGACGAAGUCGGCAAUCUAGAACAUUUGCUGACACUUGAUUUAGAGGAGACGUGCCUUGAUGGUCUACCUGAAACUGUCAGAAAGCUAGAUAAACUUGAGUGCCUCAAGUUCGGGAAAAAGGGCGAGUGGUCCGUCAUGUGGAAAGCACCAAGAGGAGUCUCCAACAUGAAGGCACUGCGUGAGGUGACUAGAAUACUACUCGGUGAUGUUAAGAUUGCUGAAGAGCUUGGUGAACUAGAACAGCUUGAAGCUAUCAUUGUAUAUGUUGACAACAAUGCUCAGCGAGAGGACGUUCGUCAACAGCUUGCCCUCUCCCUGUCCAGGAUGUACUCUCUGCGGUCGCUCAACCUGGGAGAAAUGGAGAGCGACGGUAUGACAAUGGAUUAUCUUAUUGGUCUUCCGCCUCCACACCUCCUUCGAUUCCUUAGGUUCGCUGGGGGAUUGAGUAAAUUACCAGAAUGGGUCGGGUCACUGACAUAUCUUGUUCAGUUUACUCUUUCGUGGGCGCGGUUUAAGGAUAGCCAACUAUGGGAUGUCUUGUGUGAGCUGCCUAGCCUCGAGCUCAUCAUAUUCCAACAUGAAUUCUAUGUUGGCACUGAACUGGUGGUGUCCACGAAGCACAAAUUUCCUGCACUGAAGAACAUGAUGGUGCAGUCCAAUAGACAGUAUCCCGAAGUAUUUGAGUUCGAGGAACGAUCCAUGACACAGCUAGAGAACCUUACAAUGAAUUUCGAUAAAUGGGAAUCCAAAAGGAUAGUCGGCGUCAAGCACCUGAAGAACCUUAAAGAGGUGAAUCUCACUGGUAACAGAUACAACCCUGCACUGGGCCGUGCUCUCAAGGAGUUAGAGAAAGAGAGUAAUAGUCGCUCCAAGCCUACCCGGUUCACAGUUACAGUAACAUACGAUUGA
This 2709-nucleotide ribosomal RNA is filed under the name Triticum aestivum (bread wheat). RNAcentral's name for it is "partial small subunit ribosomal RNA". The record is from RNAcentral. Lineage: Eukaryota; Viridiplantae; Streptophyta; Magnoliopsida; Poales; Poaceae.